This 498-nucleotide ribosomal RNA is filed under the name uncultured bacterium. RNAcentral describes it as "partial 16S ribosomal RNA". It matches the Rfam family "Bacterial small subunit ribosomal RNA", at positions 28 to 508 of the family's 1533-position model. The record is from RNAcentral.
GAUGAACGCUGGCGGCGUGCCUAAUACAUGCAAGUCGAGCGAACGGACGAGAAGCUUGCUUCUCUGAUGUUAGCGGUGGACGGGUGAGUAACACGUGGAUAACCUACCUAUAAGACUGGGAUAACUUCGGGAAACCGGAGCUAAUACCGGAUAAUAUUUUGAACCGCAUGGUUCAAAAGUGAAAGACGGUCUUGCUGUCACUUAUAGAUGGAUCCGCGCUGCAUUAGCUAGUUGGUAAGGUAACGGCUUACCAAGGCAACGAUGCAUAGCCGACCUGAGAGGGUGAUCGGCCACACUGGAACUGAGACACGGUCCAGACUCCUACGGGAGGCAGCAGUAGGGAAUCUUCCGCAAUGGGCGAAAGCCUGACGGAGCAACGCCGCGUGAGUGAUGAAGGUCUUCGGAUCGUAAAACUCUGUUAUUAGGGAAGAACAUAUGUGUAAGUAACUGUGCACAUCUUGACGGUACCUAAUCAGAAAGCCACGGCUAACUACGUGC